GUCAAUAGAUUGGUAUCGUCUAUGAAAAAUUCGCACUAAAACCACAAACAUCCUAGUGGCGAAAGUCAGCAAGAGUUGUUGUCCCACAAUUAAACCUUGAAGAAAGGUGCGAGUUCCUAAAAAUGGAUAGUAAAAGGCAUUGAAGAUUUGGUAGCACAAAGGUAUUAUAUCCCAUGAGCUCCAGUCAAUACGGCUCUCAUGGCAGAGGACACCAGUCAGAGGCCUCUGAAGAAAAGACCAUUUGAACGAAUGUCACUAUCCGCUGUCCCUACCAUCAACAUCGACGGAGAGGUACUACGACUCGCUUAGCGAGAGAAGUGGGGAAGAUGCCGACUUACAUGAGGAAUAUAUCCCACAGAGCGCCAUUUGUGCAACAGUUGCUCGUACAAAUGCACGGACGGAAAAGGUAUCAAGCUCCCCAACGAGGAACCUCCCAGCAGGAGGAAUGAGCGACGGGCUAUCCACAAGGGCAUGAAAGAGAUUUACGCCUCAUAGAGAGGGAAGUGGGGAUGGAUAUGUUCACAAAUUAUACCCCCGCACGAAUCAAUGAUAACUUGUCACAUGGAGCAAAAGAUUUUCCCCUGGAAUAUACUCAAGAACAGGAACUGCAAUGGUUCAUCAGUGUAUUCGACAGGAUUAGACCACAAAUGCCUAGGAAUAGGUCUCAAUUGUCACCGCUAGAUCAGAGGCACCAAGUACAUGGGCAGGGGCCUACUCACCCUGAAGCUAGACCGCCAAGAAAGAAGGGCUACAGAAAAUCUACAGAAUCAAGCCUGGACUUCACAACCACCUCUUUAUCAGGCUGAAGAGGGAGAAUGGAGGGGGCAUGUAUAUCCUUUGAGUUAGGCGAUGAUGAUGAUAGUCUACCGUUGUCCCAGAAGUUAAGAAGUACCUACAUCCCGAGCCAAUUUAUGCCACCAAGAAUACCUAAGAAUGAAAGGAAAGGGAGAUCUGGCGAAGCACCUUUACAAUUAUAAAGCUCACAUGUCCCUUAGAGAAGCCUCGACAGUGCUGAAGUGUGGGACUUUCCACCUGACCCUCACUGGUGCUGCAGAGAUCUGGCAUAAUUGCAUACCAGUCGGUAGUGUUAGAAGUGGUCAAAUCUGAAGAAAGCUUUUUUGAACCAGUAUAUGUCAAGUAAGGAGGGCGAGGCCCCAAGCGAGACCCUUAAUAGUUAUCUAGCCUGGUUUACGGAUGAAAUGACCUACUGCUAACAAGUCACGGAUGGGGAAGCACUCUUAGCGUCAAGAAGAGUCCUCAACAUGAAC
Molecule: long non-coding RNA, 1268 nt
Filed under: Olea europaea (common olive)
Lineage: Eukaryota; Viridiplantae; Streptophyta; Magnoliopsida; Lamiales; Oleaceae
Description: long non-coding RNA (OEUR_LNC015561)
Source: RNAcentral